AUCAAUUUUCCUGUUUUCAACAUUUGAAGUGUGACGUGAUUAUUUCUCUUCUUCUUCCUCCGUUGUUUGCGCAGCUCCUCCGAAGCCUGCGGACGCUGGGAAGAGAUCCAGGUGGGAUGUUUCUCAGCAGAAAGAGGAGGAGAAGAAGGAGAAGAAGGAGAAGGAGAAGGAUCCUCUGAGCCAGCUGCUCAACGAUGCUCGAAAACAGACUGAGACCAAACUGGGACAAAGCUCCCCGCCUGCCUCGGAGACGCCGUCGGUGGAUGAGCAGAAAGAAAAGAAAGACGAGGAGAAGGAGGAGGAGAAGGAGGAGGAGGAGGAGGAGGAGGAGAGCCGGCCUCCCAUGGAUCUGUUCAAGGCCAUCUUCGCCAGCUCCUCGGAUGAGAAGUCCUCGUCUUCCUCGGAGGGAGAGAGCGACGGCGAGGCGGAGGACAAGGACGCCACGGAGGACCGAGGCAAAGCCAACACGCAGCCACUGAGUCUCUUCGGCAUCCCAACAUCCAUCCAGCAGACGGCUGUAGUUUUGCCUCAGAACUUCACACAAGAAGCGAAAGAAAACCAAGAGGAGGAGUUUGGUCCCAAGCUGCCGCCUCCAUCAGCUGCUCUCAACAGAGGAGGCGCCGUCUCCGUCUGCUCGCCGCGAGACGAGGAGAAACCCAACAAGAGGAGCCGAGAGAGGAAACACAAGAACAAGAAGCAGCACAAACACAAGAAGGACAAGAGGUAG
This 727-nucleotide long non-coding RNA is filed under the name Sander lucioperca (pikeperch). RNAcentral describes it as "lncRNA (ENSSLUG00000010159.1)". The record is from RNAcentral. Lineage: Eukaryota; Metazoa; Chordata; Actinopteri; Perciformes; Percidae.